CUUUGGGAUAACCCUCGGAAACGGGGGCUAAUACCGGAUAUGACCUCCUGUCGCAUGGUGGGGGGUGGAAAGUUUUUCGGCCUGGGAUGGGCUCGCGGCCUAUCAGCUUGUUGGUGGGGUGAUGGCCUACCAAGGCGACGACGGGUAGCCGGCCUGAGAGGGCGACCGGCCACACUGGGACUGAGACACGGCCCAGACUCCUACGGGAGGCAGCAGUGGGGAAUAUUGCACAAUGGGCGGAAGCCUGAUGCAGCGACGCCGCGUGAGGGAUGACGGCCUUCGGGUUGUAAACCUCUUUCAGCAGGGACGAAGCGCAAGUGACGGUACCUGCAGAAGAAGCGCCGGCCAACUACGUGCCAGCAGCCGCGGUAAGACGUAGGGCGCGAGCGUUGUCCGGAUUUAUUGGGCGUAAAGAGCUCGUAGGCGGCUUGUCGCGUCGACCGUGAAAACCCGGGGCUCAACCCCAAGCCUGCGGUUGAUACGGGCAGGCUAGAGUUCGGUAGGGGAGACUGGAAUUCCUGGUGUAGCGGUGAAAUGCGCAGAUAUCAGGAGGAACACCGGUGGCGAAGGCGGGUCUCUGGGCCGAUACUGACGCUGAGGAGCGAAAGCGUGGGGAGCGAACAGGAUUAGAUACCCUGGUAGUCCACGCUGUAAACGUUGGGCGC
Molecule: ribosomal RNA, 665 nt
Filed under: uncultured Micromonosporaceae bacterium
Lineage: Bacteria; Bacillati; Actinomycetota; Actinomycetes; Micromonosporales; Micromonosporaceae
Description: bacterial SSU rRNA
Rfam family: Bacterial small subunit ribosomal RNA
Source: RNAcentral